GUCAGGGUGGCCGAGCGGUCUAAGACGCUGCGUUCAGGUCGCAGUCUCCCCUGGAGGCGUGGGUUCGAAUCCCACCUCUGACA
Molecule: transfer RNA, 83 nt
Filed under: Larimichthys crocea (large yellow croaker)
Lineage: Eukaryota; Metazoa; Chordata; Actinopteri; Sciaenidae
Rfam family: tRNA
About the family: Transfer RNA (tRNA) molecules are approximately 80 nucleotides in length. Their secondary structure includes four short double-helical elements and three loops (D, anti-codon, and T loops).
Source: Rfam by way of RNAcentral